UGCAGUCGAGCGCACUCUUCGGAGUGAGCGGCGGACGGGUUAGUAACGCGUGGGAACAUACCCUUUUCUACGGAAUAGCCUCGGGAAACUGAGAGUAAUACCGUAUACGCCCUUCGGGGGAAAGAUUUAUCGGAGAAGGAUUGGCCCGCGUUUGAUUAGAUAGUUGGUGGGGUAAUGGCCUACCAAGUCUACGAUCAAUAGCUGGUUUGAGAGGAUGAUCAGCAACACUGGGACUGAGACACGGCCCAGACUCCUACGGGAGGCAGCAGUGGGGAAUCUUAGACAAUGGGCGCAAGCCUGAUCUAGCCAUGCCGCGUGAGUGACGAAGGCCUUAGGGUCGUAAAGCUCUUUCGCCAGAGAUGAUAAUGACAGUAUCUGGUAAAGAAACCCCGGCUAACUCCGUGCCAGCAGCCGCGGUAAUACGGAGGGGGUUAGCGUUGUUCGGAAUUACUGGGCGUAAAGCGUACGUAGGCGGAUUGGAAAGUAUGGGGUGAAAUCCCAGGGCUCAACCCUGGAACUGCCCUGUAAACUAUCAGUCUAGAGUUCGAGAGAGGUGAGUGGAAUUCCAAGUGUAGAGGUGAAAUUCGUAGAUAUUUGGAGGAACACCAGUGGCGAAGGCGGCUCACUGGCUCGAUACUGACGCUGAGGUACGAAAGUGUGGGGAGCAAACAGGAUUAGAUACCCUGGUAGUCCACACCGUAAACGAUGAAUGCCAGACGUCGGGGGGGCUUGCCCUUCGGUGUCACA
Molecule: ribosomal RNA, 747 nt
Filed under: Yoonia sp.
Lineage: Bacteria; Pseudomonadati; Pseudomonadota; Alphaproteobacteria; Rhodobacterales; Paracoccaceae
Description: bacterial SSU rRNA
Rfam family: Bacterial small subunit ribosomal RNA
Source: RNAcentral